UACGUAGGGUGCAAGCGUUGUCCGGAUUUACUGGGCGUAAAGAGCGCGCAGGCGGUCGUCCAAGUCGCGUGUGAAAGCCCCCGGCUCAACUGGGGAGGGUCACGCGAUACUGGUCGACUCGAAGGCAGGAGAGGGUAGUGGAAUUCCUGGUGUAGCGGUGAAAUGCGCAGAUAUCAGGAGGAACACCGAUGGCGAAGGCAGGUCUCUGGGCCACUACUGACGCUGAGAAGCGAAAGCAUGGGGAGCGAACAGG
This 253-nucleotide ribosomal RNA is filed under the name uncultured bacterium. RNAcentral's name for it is "partial 16S ribosomal RNA". It matches the Rfam family "Bacterial small subunit ribosomal RNA", at positions 524 to 776 of the family's 1533-position model. The record is from RNAcentral.